RNAcentral lists this ribosomal RNA (272 nucleotides) under uncultured archaeon. Its description in RNAcentral is "partial 16S ribosomal RNA". It matches the Rfam family "Archaeal small subunit ribosomal RNA", at positions 477 to 747 of the family's 1478-position model. The record is from RNAcentral.
CGGCGCCACGAGUGGUGAUCAUUUUUAUUGGGCCUAAAGCGUUCGUAGCCGGUUUGAUAAAUCUUCUGUGAAAUUGUCAAGCUUAACUUGACAGCGUGCAGAAGACACUAUUAAACUUGGAACCGGGAGGAGUCAGAGGUAUUCUUUGGGGAGCGGUAAAAUGCUGUAAUCCAAAGAAGACUAACUGUGGCGAAGGCGUCUGACUAGAACGGAUUCGACGGUGAUUGGACGAAAGUCAAGGGAGCAAUCCGGAUUAGAUACCCGAGUAGUCC